RNAcentral lists this transfer RNA (68 nucleotides) under Marmota monax (woodchuck). RNAcentral describes it as "tRNA.Ala". Lineage: Eukaryota; Metazoa; Chordata; Mammalia; Rodentia; Sciuridae. The record is from RNAcentral.
GUUGUGGCUCAGUGGUAGAGUGCUCACCUAGCAUGUGCGAGGCCCUGGGUUCAAUCCUUAGCACCACA